CUGAAAUCUUCUUCUUUUUUUCUAUUCUUUCUCCAAAAUCCGGCCAUGGGGGUCCGGCGAGCCUCCGCCGUGGCCGAAAAAUAAUUUGCUUUCUCAGUCCUUUUUCUUUCUCUUUAAAAAAAAAAUUAAAACUCUAAAUCUAAGCCAAGUUUUCUUGAAAUCAAAAAAAGAAAAAAGAAAACGGAAAGGGUGACUUUCGGCCUCGCGGCGACAGGGUCGUUGGUGGCAGAGGCGGAGUAGGUGGCGCUGACGUCGGCGGUGGUAGGCUAGGGAUAGGGUGCAGCGCCAGGCUAAGGAUUUUAGGGUUUCUGUUUCUGGGCUAGGGUUGAUUUGGGCCUGCUUUUUUUGUAAUUGGGCUGUUUAUUGGAUUUGGGUUUUAUUUAUUUAGGCUUUAUUUAUUUGUUUAAUGGGCCGGGCAAAUUGGUCUGCUACAGUGAUCAUUUUUGUCAUUGAGAGUAUAGAGCUCGUUUGAAGAAUCUGUGAAACGUAAUUUCGAGAGAGUGAGAAUGUUAUAGGUAAGAUAGAUAAUGUGGUCGUGGGGGUUGGUUAAGAGGUUGAGGGAAAGAGCUCGAAAAACUUUAUUGAGGGUGGACUGCCAUAAGUCACAACUGGUGAGGUCUUCGAGUAAGGUGAAUUUGUGGACUAGGGCAUUAAGGCAUCCAAAUUGGUUCGAAAAAGUGAUGAUGAUUGAUGAAUGUUUGUAGUUGUGAGGUGAGAAAAGGUGAAGCAAGUUUUAUUUUAGUUUCAA
Molecule: long non-coding RNA, 748 nt
Organism: Gossypium raimondii (Peruvian cotton)
Lineage: Eukaryota; Viridiplantae; Streptophyta; Magnoliopsida; Malvales; Malvaceae
Exons: 2
Source: RefSeq, a predicted model, not a curated record